GACGAACGCUGGCGGCGUGCUUAACACAUGCAAGUCGAACGCUGAAGCUCAGCUUUUGUUGGGUGGAUGAGUGGCGAACGGGUGAGUAACACGUGAGUAACCUGCCCCCUUCUUUGGGAUAACGCCCGGAAACGGGUGCUAAUACUGGAUAUUCACUGGUCUUCGCAUGGGGGUUGGUGGAAAGGGUUUUUCUGGUGGGGGAUGGGCUCGCGGCCUAUCAGCUUGUUGGUGGGGUGAUGGCCUACCAAGGCUUUGACGGGUAGCCGGCCUGAGAGGGUGACCGGUCACAUUGGGACUGAGAUACGGCCCAGACUGCUACGGGAGGCAGCAGUGGGGAAUAUUGCACAAUGGGCGCAAGCCUGAUGCAGCGACGCCGCGUGAGGGAUGGAGGCCUUCGGGUUGUGAACCUCUUUCGCUCAUGGUCAAGCCGCAACAAUGGUUGUGGUGAGGGUAGUGGGUAAAGAAGCGCCGGCUAACUACGUG
This 483-nucleotide ribosomal RNA is filed under the name uncultured bacterium. Its description in RNAcentral is "partial 16S ribosomal RNA". It matches the Rfam family "Bacterial small subunit ribosomal RNA", at positions 28 to 507 of the family's 1533-position model. The record is from RNAcentral.